AGUCAGUGAAGCACUUAAAGGGGCCGAGGCCGCGAGGAGCCGCCGUUUACUCCCCUCCCCACAGCUCUCCCAACUUUUCACCGAGCACUGUAGAGGUCCAGCAACAAGUGGAUGAGUGUCAGGCCAUGGAAGAUGGAUGGCCCUUCCCUCCUGUCAGAUGAGGCUGGGCUAUCACUUUUAAUAGGCCCUUAUUAAGGUGUUCACAGAACUAAGAAAAUAAAUACCACAUCUAAGGUGUGCUGUGCAGGCAGCGCUGGGCCCUCCUGGAGCCGUCUCUAAACAAACACACAGCCACUGGGAGAAGGCUUUGGGAAAAAUAACAAGUGCC
Molecule: long non-coding RNA, 328 nt
Organism: Equus quagga
Lineage: Eukaryota; Metazoa; Chordata; Mammalia; Perissodactyla; Equidae
Exons: 3
Source: RefSeq, a predicted model, not a curated record